AUGACCGUGACCACGGAGCAAGGAGCAGUGGAUUUACAAGCAGUCACUAAACAACAACACCAGUGCUCUGCAAUUUCUUCUCAGGAACUCCUGUCUGCAUGUAAGCAGGGCUCUGUUGCCUAUGUUGUGCAUCGGAAUUCUGUCAGUGAAAGGGGAACGCAAGAGGAGAACAUUCCAGUAGAAAUUCUCAGAGUAUUGGAGCAGUACACGGAUGUGUUUGAAAAACCCAAAGGGCUCCCACCGCGACGCGCUUGCGAUCAUCGAAUCCCACUAAUGGAGGGCGCGCAACCAGUCAAUCAGCGCCCUUACAGACACAAGCCGGAGCUCAAGAAUGAGAUAGAGCGUCAGGUUAAAGAACUGCUGGAUGCAGGUAUCAUCAGAGAGAGUACCAGCCCGUUCUCCUCGCCAGCGUUACUUGUGAAGAAAAAGGACGGGACGUGGCGAUUAUGUGUGGAUUACAGAUGUUUGAAUGCAAUGACACUGGUCAGUAAAUACCCAGUACCAAUCAUUGAUGAAUUGGUUGGAGCACGUUUGUAA
RNAcentral lists this ribosomal RNA (537 nucleotides) under Triticum aestivum (bread wheat). RNAcentral's name for it is "partial small subunit ribosomal RNA". Lineage: Eukaryota; Viridiplantae; Streptophyta; Magnoliopsida; Poales; Poaceae. The record is from RNAcentral.